UACGUAGGGUGCGAGCGUUGUCCGGAAUUAUUGGGCGUAAAGAGCUCGUAGGCGGUCUGUCGCGUCGGUCGUGAAAACUUGGGGCUUAACCCUGAGCUUGCGGUCGAUACGGGCAUGACUGGAGUUCGGUAGGGGAGACUGGAAUUCCUGGUGUAGCGGUGAAAUGCGCAGAUAUCAGGAGGAACACCUAUAGCGAAGGCAGCUCGCUGGGACGUUACUGACGCUGAGGCGCGAAAGCGUGGGGAGCGAACAGG
Molecule: ribosomal RNA, 254 nt
Filed under: uncultured bacterium
Lineage: Bacteria
Description: partial 16S ribosomal RNA
Rfam family: Bacterial small subunit ribosomal RNA
Source: RNAcentral